This is a small nuclear RNA of Leucoraja erinaceus (little skate), 105 nucleotides long. The record is from RefSeq and is a predicted model, not a curated record. Lineage: Eukaryota; Metazoa; Chordata; Chondrichthyes; Rajiformes; Rajidae.
AUAUAUAUAUAUAUAUAUAUACUAAAAAUUGGAACGAUUCAGUGAAGAUUAGCAUGGCCUCUGCGCAAGAAUGACAAAAAAAAAACAUAACAUCCCAACUUCUAU